Molecule: ribosomal RNA, 407 nt
Filed under: uncultured bacterium
Lineage: Bacteria
Description: partial 16S ribosomal RNA
Rfam family: Bacterial small subunit ribosomal RNA
Source: RNAcentral
AUUGAACGCUGGUGGCAGGCCUAACACAUGCAAGUCGAGCGGAGCGGCGGACGGGUGAGUAAUGCCUAGGAAUCUGCAUGGUAGUGGGGGAUGACGACCGGAAACGGGCGCUAAUACCGCAUACUAUCAGAUGAGCCUAGGUCGGAUUAGCUAGUUGGUGGGGUAAGGGCACACCAAGGCGACGAUCCGUAACUGGUCUGAGAGGAUGAUCAGUCACACUGGAACUGAGACACGGUCCAGACUCCUACGGGAGGCAGCAGUGGGGAAUAUUGGACAAUGGGCGAAAGCCUGAUCCAGCCAUGCCGCGUGUGUGAAGAAGGUCUUCGGAUUGUAAAGCACUUUAAGCGGGGAGGCGUUACCAGCAGAAUAAGCACCGGCUAACUUCGUGCCAGCAGCCGCGGUAAUAC